UCCUAGUUAACCUAGGCAGUCUCGUUAGAGUUCCCGCCAUUACGCGCUGGCAACUAACGAUAAGGGUUGCGCUCGUUGCUGGACUUAACCAAACACCUCACGGCACGAGCUGACGACAGCCAUGCAGCACCUAUAUAGAGACCCUUUCGGGAUAGAUAAUCUCUUAUCUAGUCCUCUACAUUUCGAGCCCAGGUAAGGUUCUUCGCGUUGCCUCGAAUUAAGCAACAUGCUCCGCCGCUUGU
RNAcentral lists this unclassified non-coding RNA (242 nucleotides) under uncultured Chlamydiales bacterium. RNAcentral's name for it is "contains 16S-23S intergenic spacer region". Lineage: Bacteria; Pseudomonadati; Chlamydiota; Chlamydiia; Chlamydiales. The record is from RNAcentral.